Paramuricea clavata is the source of this 248-nucleotide non-coding RNA. The record is from the annotation of a GenBank genome assembly. Lineage: Eukaryota; Metazoa; Cnidaria; Anthozoa; Malacalcyonacea; Plexauridae.
UAACAUUUUAAGAUUGACCUUUACGGCAUAAAAGGUCGAUCUUUAUUCCUUUAUUCAAGCUAAAAGUAGCUAAAUCAUGGUCCAAUUUUUAUGCACAAGUUGCUCUAACUUCGAACAUGUUAACAGCUAACAGGUGACUUCAAAUUACGAUUUGAAGUUUGCAGUUAUAGCGGUUUGCCGUAAACGUCAAUCUUAAAGUUCCUAAUAUAUAUAAUACGUCAGCUGAAAUAAAACGUAUUGAACCAUGA